CGGAUUAACUCAUUCGAGGGUUACGAGGCCGCGAUUAUGUGCCACCUGCCACGAUUGCGGACGCUCGAGAGCAUUAGUUUGUAAUUAUACGCGGCUUCGCGUGAAACAGCUUAAGACGAGCGUCGGCUAAUGGCCACGGAGGCGGGUAAAUUAUUUUUACUGCUCCGCCCGCCAUCGGGAUUCUGUUAAUUAACGCUGUGCAUCCUUUGUGCACGGCCAGACCACGGUGAAAUUCAGAAACGAGGUGUACAUGUCGAAUACCACUCAAAAUGGGAACGAUAUUCUCAGCAGGCACCACAAUUUUGGGUAAAGUCUCUCUUCACUUGGAGAUAUCUCCACCUUGGUACCAACGCGUCUAACAGAGGCUAGCCACCAAGUCGUAGAAGGUGCAGGGAAGAUCUGGGAGAAAAUGGCGUACAACGCAAGGCUAAGCAGAAUAAUGCGUAAUGGACGUCAGGAAACAUUUCUAAGAUUCCAAGGGGUCUCCUUCGAUCACCCUUCAAAGCAGCCGGUUCUAAUGAACUCAUCGACAGCUUCUCAAGCUGACCCUGCCUAACGUCGUCGACCGAAUGAACAAAUUUCGUGCGUGCCUCUUGCCACGAGCAUCGGAAUGCCGUAAUAGAGGCUGUAUGCGGAAUAUCAGAACACCUACGAGAGGCCUGUUCGUCGCUGGAGCAUGGCUGGAACGACGAUCUGCUUCGAGGAACUUCGAAACGAGGGUGGAGAACGAUUUGCAAGCAUGGGCUGUUUUGGUACUCUUUGAAAAGAAAAAUAUUUAAUCCAUUCGUGUAUAUGGGAGUUAGACAGAACUGGGGACAAAUAAAGAGAGGUGAGAAUAAUUUAUAACUUUACACUAAAUUUAUGAGUGUGACUAUAAGGUGGAUGUCACAAUGAUUACGGCGGUAAGUGCAAGAAGGAAGAAAUGAAGAAAAUGUUAUAGGAAAUGUGAGUGAAUAUAAUAAUGAGCAAUGCUUUUAAAAAAGACAAUUAUUUUUAUAAAAUAAAAUUCCCAACAACUUCGUAACAAUAUAAAUAAUUUUCAGUUCCCCUCAGCCAUCCAGUGCUUCCAUACCUGGUGGAAGAAAUCGUCGAUAAAAGCGCCCGGAACCCCCAUUCGAUUUUGCCUCGUACCAUUGUUUUCAUAUCUCUAACCGUUUCCACGGCACAGCCCAGGUUCGGCGGUCCAUCCUAUACAUGAAGGGUAUUAAGCAAGGAAGAAUCGCGAAGGAUACGACGAAAAAAUGUUUAUCAGGGUUGCUUUGGAUGAUACGGGGCAACAGCGACUGGCUCACAGGAAACCCUCGAGCAUUGUGUGCGGAGUUUCCACAGGGUAGGAGGAUUCAUGAGGUAAUUCCGUGUUCGAUACACCGUGCCCGCUUAAGGCUGCGAUGUUACCUGCGUCACAUAAGCGUAAUACCGGAUAAGCCGCAAUAAUGCAGACCCACUGUGCGUGCACGCGAAAGUGGAAUGGAUCCUGCUGCUCGGAGAGAUUCAAGAGCCAAACGUCCGUGGUACAUAAUCAUCGUACCGAAACAGGGACGGGACGGCCACUCUGCCUUUACGGGCUGGGAACAAAUCCGCGAAAAGUUUUUCCUAACGGCGACGAAUCGUCGACGAAGGGUGCCGUUGAAUCGUUCAUGGGCUGUGCAGUCGGUUCGGCGCUUUGCUCGUCGAUGCGUUCAGUUCUGUUUCGGAGAGAAGAGUAAUUCGACGAGGAAAGUCGUAAAAAUUCAAGGAAAAUUAGGCAUUGUGUAGGUUUCCUUGGCGACUUUGUCACUGUUCACUGUUUCCUGAAACCUUGCUGCUUCAAAACUACCAAAUUAUAUUGGAUUUCAUGUUAACACAUUAACGACCGAUAGCGUUUGGACAUGUAUGUUCUUAAAUUUAGUAAUAUUGUUCAGUUUCAUAAUAUUAGUAUUACGCAAAAUUUAUAUUACCUAUUAGAAUCGUCUUAUGAAUUAUAUUUAUAUAAUAUUUCAUAAUUCAUAUAAUAAUGGGAGCAUACAAUAAGAUCGUACUAUCUCAAUAAUAAAUAAGAAAGUAUUGCUCGUCAUGGAAAAGAAACGAUUAAUAGGCUACCGGUCGGUAAAAUGUUAAUUUCAACAAGUAAGCCUAUGAAUAUUUUCAUAAGUACAUGUACAGUCAAUACCACAAAUAUUCGUACACUUUAUGUCUAUUGAAGAAGUUUGACUAAAUUACAUAAUAGUUUCGAUAUUAUGAAAUGAAUUUUUCAUUAUAAAUAUGUAUAUGAAUAAGCUUAUACAUGGAUGUAUAAUCCAUUUAAUCAACAAUUUAUUUGCUGAUAAUGUCGUACUGAUUAAUCAUUAUAAUCUA
This is a long non-coding RNA of Hylaeus volcanicus, 2334 nucleotides long. RefSeq lists it as uncharacterized. NCBI's taxonomy places the organism in Eukaryota, Metazoa, Arthropoda, Insecta, Hymenoptera, Colletidae. The transcript is spliced from 4 exons. The record is from RefSeq and is a predicted model, not a curated record.